RNAcentral lists this ribosomal RNA (253 nucleotides) under uncultured bacterium. RNAcentral describes it as "partial 16S ribosomal RNA". It matches the Rfam family "Bacterial small subunit ribosomal RNA", at positions 524 to 776 of the family's 1533-position model. The record is from RNAcentral.
UACGAAGGGUGCAAACGUUGCUCGGAAUUACUGGGCGUAAAGGGAGCGUAGGCGGAUAGUUUAGUCAGAGGUGAAAGCCCAGGGCUCAACCUUGGAAUUGCCUUUGAUACUGGCUAUCUUGAGUACGGAAGAGGUAUGUGGAACUCCGAGUGUAGAGGUGAAAUUCGUAGAUAUUCGGAAGAACACCAGUGGCGAAGGCGACAUACUGGUCCGUUACUGACGCUGAGGCUCGAAAGCGUGGGGAGCAAACAGG